GAUGAAGAACGCAGCGAAAUGCGAUACGUAGUGUGAAUUGCAGAAUUCAGUGAAUCAUCGAAUCUUUGAACGCACAUUGCGCCCGCCAGUAUUCUGGCGGGCAUGCCUGUCCGAGCGUCAUUUCAACCAUCAAGCCCCGGGCUUGUGUUGGGGACCUGCGUCCGACGCAGGCCCUGAAAACCAGUGGCGGGCUCGCUGUCCACACCGAGCGUAGUAACUAACCUCGCUAUGGAGUGGCGCGGGCGCCUGCCGUAAAACCCCCAAUUUUUACAAGGUUGACCUCGGAUCAGGUAGGAAUACCCGCUGAACUUAAGCAUAUCAAUAAGCGGAGGA
This 333-nucleotide unclassified non-coding RNA is filed under the name soil metagenome. RNAcentral describes it as "partial contains 5.8S ribosomal RNA, internal transcribed spacer 2, and large subunit ribosomal RNA". The stretch from base 1 to 120 matches the Rfam family "5.8S ribosomal RNA", at positions 35 to 154 of the family's 154-position model. The record is from RNAcentral.